UCAAACGUGAGAAGAACAAUCUGAGGAGUCUCUUCUGGAGUUAGUUCACCUAGAAUUCAGUCAUAACGGAGUAUUUUAACUGUGCGAAGGUAGCAUAAUCAUUUGUCUUUUAAUUGGAGGCUGGUAUGAAUGGCUGGAUGAGGGAUUGACUUUUUUUUACUUAAAUAUAAAUUAAUUUGAUUUUUUGGUUAAAAAGCUAAAAUUAAUUUGUAGGACGAGAAGACCCUAUAGAAUUUUAUUAAUGAAUUUUAUUUGUUUUUUUGUAUUUGGUUAAUGAAUAUAAUAGAUUUAAUUUUGUUGGGGUGAUGGUGAAAUUGAUUUAACUUUCAUUUUUAUCUCUCAUUGAUUUAUGUAUCUUUUGAUCCUUUAUUAUGGAUU
RNAcentral lists this ribosomal RNA (378 nucleotides) under Micrelytra fossularum. RNAcentral's name for it is "partial large subunit ribosomal RNA". The record is from RNAcentral. Lineage: Eukaryota; Metazoa; Arthropoda; Insecta; Hemiptera; Alydidae.